This is a long non-coding RNA of Eptatretus burgeri (inshore hagfish), 943 nucleotides long. NCBI's taxonomy places the organism in Eukaryota, Metazoa, Chordata, Myxini, Myxiniformes, Myxinidae. The record is from Ensembl.
GGCAGCGCUAGCAGCUCAACUUCAUGGCGAGAACAACACUGGAAACGUUGAUGGCUUGGAUCGACAACUCAACUCGUCCUUUUCAAUGGGAUGUGUCUGAUUGGAGGCACGAUUUGAGAUCAUGUUGAGUUACUGCUGUGGUUCAUUGGAAUCUCCCAUGAUGAAACUGAGUAUGUCGGCCGAUGGCUUUCACUUCGCAGGGCUUCAAGGCAGCUGUUCAGCACCAUCUGAGAUCAACCCCUAUCCAAAAAGUGAGUCUGCAGUGGGGAUGGACGCGUCCUGGAGCAAGCAGUCCAUAUUCUUUACCUGCCGAACCAAUCACAAAGACACGAAGCUUUCAUUCAGGCAGACCUUGUCUUCGCAAGGGAAAAUCACCGGCCUGUCCAGGAGUAGUAAGUUUGUUUAGAGAGAGCGAGAAAAACGACAAAAGUAAUAAUGUACAAGAAGAGUAAAAGCGCCCAGUAAAGGCAACAAGCAUGUGCAGCUGAUUGAUGUGCAAGCAUCAGCGCAGCCAAGCAGCUGACUACCCGUGUGUGGCCUAGCAUGGUGCUUGCAUCGAUGGGGUGGGGUCCGGGCUGUGAAUUGCAAAGGGCGUACGCCAUGGGUCAGCGGCAAGCCUAAUACGAUGGCGGUGAAUUUCUCAUGAUCUGUCCAUAGAUUCCCAAAGGUGGCUCGGCUGCACGGAGCUCGAUCAAGACUGGGAGAAGAACCCUCCACUCGUUUGUUUUCUUUCGACUGAACACAACAUCAUUAGUGGUGGCUUGUUCUUGCUUGGGCUAAUCACUAGCUGUCUGAUAAAAUGUGGGCGGAAUGCAGCUGAUUCUUAAACAUUGAGAGCUCUUUAUCUGAGCAUGAAGGUGAACUUCAUACAAUCCAGGUGUAAUACGUUUUUCAAUAAAAUAUUCUAUCGUUUUUGGGGGUUAUUUUUGCUACAUUUCAUUUG